GCUACCAAGACGACUUUUUAAUGGAGACCCACGUGGCCCGGUGAGAAGAGCAAGGUCCCACUUUCAGCUUUUUGUACAGGUGACUGAGCUCAUAUCAUCCAUGACAGGAGGCGGUUCUGAGGAUCUGGGUCGUGGUGACUGCUGAAGCUUCUACUCCAGAUUUGAAGGGAACAAAUCAGUCCUCAGGAGACCCAAACACUUCCAUCCCUGGUGGGAUAUGACACCUGGCUCAAGCCCAGGAAUGAAGGAAGGGAGUUAUCAGGAUGGCAAUCCUUAUAACCAGAUCCUUAUCCACAUCCUUCACUAUGUCCUGAAGAUGAAUUUGUACAAAAGAAAUUAUUGGUGUAAGUGAGAGUAUGUCGAGAGAAGGUAAACACUGGCAGGAAUUUCCCGGUGAGUCAGGCCCAUUUCUACAUAGUGGAUGAAUGCCCUGAUGGGGCUGGGGGAAGGAAAGAAGGCAGUUCUACCAUUUCCAGUCAACUGAGUCAUGGACUCAAUGAUGGAGUUUGAGGUAAGAGAAUGAAGUCACCACCCACCCCAUUUCUUCCUGUUUCCUUGGUUUUCCUGACCUCUUAUUCCUCCCUGCCACCCCCGCCCCACCCCACUUUAUG
Molecule: non-coding RNA, 611 nt
Organism: Microcebus murinus (gray mouse lemur)
Lineage: Eukaryota; Metazoa; Chordata; Mammalia; Primates; Cheirogaleidae
Source: RefSeq, a predicted model, not a curated record